RNAcentral lists this ribosomal RNA (1363 nucleotides) under uncultured bacterium. RNAcentral describes it as "bacterial SSU rRNA". It matches the Rfam family "Bacterial small subunit ribosomal RNA", at positions 32 to 1382 of the family's 1533-position model. The record is from RNAcentral.
AACGCUAGCUACAGGCUUAACACACGCCAAGUUCGAGGGGCAGCACGAACUUAGCUUCGCUAAGUUUCGACGGCGAACCGGCGCACGGGCGAGUAACACGUAUCCAACCUGCCGAAGAACUCGGGGAUAGCCUUUCGAAAGAAAGAUUAAUACCCGAUGGCAUAGUUCUUCCGCAUGGUAGAACUAUUAAAGAAUUUCGGUCAUCGAUGGGGAUGCGUUCCAUUAGGUUGUUGGCGGGGUAACGGCCCACCAAGCCUUCGAUGGAUAGGGGUUCUGAGAGGAAGGUCCCCCACAUUGGAACUGAGACACGGUCCAAACUCCUACGGGAGGCAGCAGUGAGGAAUAUUGGUCAAUGGACGAGAGUCUGAACCAGCCAAGUAGCGUGAAGGAUGACUGCCCUAUGGGUUGUAAACUUCUUUUAUACGGGAAUAAAGUGAGGCACGUGUGCCUUUUUGUAUGUACCGUAUGAAUAAGGAUCGGCUAACUCCGUGCCAGCAGCCGCGGUAAUACGGAGGAUCCGAGCGUUAUCCGGAUUUAUUGGGUUUAAAGGGAGCGUAGGCGGACGCUUAAGUCAGUUGUGAAAGUUUGCGGCUCAACCGUAAAAUUGCAGUUGAUACUGGGUGUCUUGAGUACAGUAGAGGCAGGCGGAAUUCGUGGUGUAGCGGUGAAAUGCUUAGAUAUCACGAAGAACUCCGAUUGCGAAGGCAGCCUGCUGGACUGUAACUGACGCUGAUGCUCGAAAGUGUGGGUAUCAAACAGGAUUAGAUACCCUGGUAGUCCACACAGUAAACGAUGAAUACUCGCUGUUUGCGAUAUACAGUAAGCGGCCAAGCGAAAGCGUUAAGUAUUCCACCUGGGGAGUACGCCGGCAACGGUGAAACUCAAAGGAAUUGACGGGGGCCCGCACAAGCGGAGGAACAUGUGGUUUAAUUCGAUGAUACGCGAGGAACCUUACCCGGGCUUGAAUUGCAACUGAAUGAUGUGGAGACAUGUCAGCCGCAAGGCAGUUGUGAAGGUGCUGCAUGGUUGUCGUCAGCUCGUGCCGUGAGGUGUCGGCUUAAGUGCCAUAACGAGCGCAACCCUUAUCGAUAGUUACCAUCAGGUUAUGCUGGGGACCCUGUCGAGACUGCCGUCGUAAGAUGUGAGGAAGGUGGGGAUGACGUCAAAUCAGCACGGCCCUUACGUCCGGGGCUACACACGUGUUACAAUGGGGGGUACAGAAGGCAGCUACACGGCGACGUGAUGCUAAUCCCGAAAGCCUCUCUCAGUUCGGAUUGGAGUCUGCAAACCCGACUCCAUGAAGCUGGAUUCGCUAGUAAUCGCGCAUUCAGCCACGGCGCGGUAAAUACGUUUCCCGGGCCCU